RNAcentral lists this ribosomal RNA (2927 nucleotides) under Salmonella enterica subsp. enterica serovar Bareilly str. CFSAN000211. RNAcentral describes it as "bacterial LSU rRNA". It matches the Rfam family "Bacterial large subunit ribosomal RNA". RNAcentral also lists the same sequence under 4 other names. The record is from RNAcentral. Lineage: Bacteria; Pseudomonadati; Pseudomonadota; Gammaproteobacteria; Enterobacterales; Enterobacteriaceae.
GGGUUGUGAGGUUAAGCGACUAAGCGUACACGGUGGAUGCCCUGGCAGUCAGAGGCGAUGAAGGGCGUGCUAAUCUGCGAUAAGCGCCGGUAAGGUGAUAUGAACCGUUAUAACCGGCGAUACCCGAAUGGGGAAACCCAGUGUGAUUCGUCACACUAUCAUUAACUGAAUCCAUAGGUUAAUGAGGCGAACCGGGGGAACUGAAACAUCUAAGUACCCCGAGGAAAAGAAAUCAACCGAGAUUCCCCCAGUAGCGGCGAGCGAACGGGGAGGAGCCCAGAGCCUGAAUCAGCAUGUGUGUUAGUGGAAGCGUCUGGAAAGGCGCGCGAUACAGGGUGACAGCCCCGUACACAAAAGCGCAUGUGCUGUGAGCUCGAUGAGUAGGGCGGGACACGUGGUAUCCUGUCUGAAUAUGGGGGGACCAUCCUCCAAGGCUAAAUACUCCUGACUGACCGAUAGUGAACCAGUACCGUGAGGGAAAGGCGAAAAGAACCCCGGCGAGGGGAGUGAAAAAGAACCUGAAACCGUGUACGUACAAGCAGUGGGAGCACAGGUUUACCUGUGUGACUGCGUACCUUUUGUAUAAUGGGUCAGCGACUUAUAUUCUGUAGCAAGGUUAACCGUAUAGGGGAGCCGGAGGGAAACCGAGUCUUAACCGGGCGUUAAGUUGCAGGGUAUAGACCCGAAACCCGGUGAUCUAGCCAUGGGCAGGUUGAAGGUUGGGUAACACUAACUGGAGGACCGAACCGACUAAUGUUGAAAAAUUAGCGGAUGACCUGUGGCUGGGGGUGAAAGGCCAAUCAAACCGGGAGAUAGCUGGUUCUCCCCGAAAGCUAUUUAGGUAGCGCCUCGUGAAUUCAUCUCCGGGGGUAGAGCACUGUUUCGGCUAGGGGGCCAUCCCGGCUUACCAACCCGAUGCAAACUGCGAAUACCGGAGAAUGUUAUCACGGGAGACACACGGCGGGUGCUAACGUCCGUCGUGAAGAGGGAAACAACCCAGACCGCCAGCUAAGGUCCCAAAGUCAUGGUUAAGUGGGAAACGAUGUGGGAAGGCCCAGACAGCCAGGAUGUUGGCUUAGAAGCAGCCAUCAUUUAAAGAAAGCGUAAUAGCUCACUGGUCGAGUCGGCCUGCGCGGAAGAUGUAACGGGGCUAAACCAUGCACCGAAGCUGCGGCAGCGACGUUUAUGUGUUGUUGGGUAGGGGAGCGUUCUGUAAGCCUGUGAAGGUGUGUCGUGAGGCAUGCUGGAGGUAUCAGAAGUGCGAAUGCUGACAUAAGUAACGAUAAAGCGGGUGAAAAGCCCGCUCGCCGGAAGACCAAGGGUUCCUGUCCAACGUUAAUCGGGGCAGGGUGAGUCGACCCCUAAGGCGAGGCCGAAAGGCGUAGUCGAUGGGAAACGGGUUAAUAUUCCCGUACUUGGUGUUACUGCGAAGGGGGGACGGAGAAGGCUAUGUUGGCCGGGCGACGGUUGUCCCGGUUUAAGCGUGUAGGCUGGUUUUCCAGGCAAAUCCGGAAAAUCAAGGCUGAGGCGUGACGACGAGGCACUACGGUGCUGAAGCAACAAAUGCCCUGCUUCCAGGAAAAGCCUCUAAGCAUCAGGUAACAUCAAAUCGUACCCCAAACCGACACAGGUGGUCAGGUAGAGAAUACCAAGGCGCUUGAGAGAACUCGGGUGAAGGAACUAGGCAAAAUGGUGCCGUAACUUCGGGAGAAGGCACGCUGACACGUAGGUGAAGUGAUUUACUCAUGGAGCUGAAGUCAGUCGAAGAUACCAGCUGGCUGCAACUGUUUAUUAAAAACACAGCACUGUGCAAACACGAAAGUGGACGUAUACGGUGUGACGCCUGCCCGGUGCCGGAAGGUUAAUUGAUGGGGUCAGCGCAAGCGAAGCUCCUGAUCGAAGCCCCGGUAAACGGCGGCCGUAACUAUAACGGUCCUAAGGUAGCGAAAUUCCUUGUCGGGUAAGUUCCGACCUGCACGAAUGGCGUAAUGAUGGCCAGGCUGUCUCCACCCGAGACUCAGUGAAAUUGAACUCGCUGUGAAGAUGCAGUGUACCCGCGGCAAGACGGAAAGACCCCGUGAACCUUUACUAUAGCUUGACACUGAACAUUGAGCCUUGAUGUGUAGGAUAGGUGGGAGGCUUUGAAGCGUGGACGCCAGUCUGCGUGGAGCCGACCUUGAAAUACCACCCUUUAAUGUUUGAUGUUCUAACGUGGACCCGUAAUCCGGGUUGCGGACAGUGUCUGGUGGGUAGUUUGACUGGGGCGGUCUCCUCCUAAAGAGUAACGGAGGAGCACGAAGGUUGGCUAAUCCUGGUCGGACAUCAGGAGGUUAGUGCAAUGGCAUAAGCCAGCUUGACUGCGAGCGUGACGGCGCGAGCAGGUGCGAAAGCAGGUCAUAGUGAUCCGGUGGUUCUGAAUGGAAGGGCCAUCGCUCAACGGAUAAAAGGUACUCCGGGGAUAACAGGCUGAUACCGCCCAAGAGUUCAUAUCGACGGCGGUGUUUGGCACCUCGAUGUCGGCUCAUCACAUCCUGGGGCUGAAGUAGGUCCCAAGGGUAUGGCUGUUCGCCAUUUAAAGUGGUACGCGAGCUGGGUUUAGAACGUCGUGAGACAGUUCGGUCCCUAUCUGCCGUGGGCGCUGGAGAACUGAGGGGGGCUGCUCCUAGUACGAGAGGACCGGAGUGGACGCAUCACUGGUGUUCGGGUUGUCAUGCCAAUGGCACUGCCCGGUAGCUAAAUGCGGAAGAGAUAAGUGCUGAAAGCAUCUAAGCACGAAACUUGCCCCGAGAUGAGUUCUCCCUGAGACUUAGAGUCUCCUGAAGGAACGUUGAAGACGACGACGUUGAUAGGCCGGGUGUGUAAGCGCAGCGAUGCGUUGAGCUAACCGGUACUAAUGAACCGUGAGGCUUAACCUUACAACGCCGAAG